AUUGAACGCUGGCGGCAGGCCUAACACAUGCAAGUCGAGCGGAUGAAGGGAGCUUGCUCCUGGAUUCAGCGGCGGACGGGUGAGUAAUGCCUAGGAAUCUGCCUGGUAGUGGGGGAUAACGUCCGGAAACGGGCGCUAAUACCGCAUACGUCCUGAGGGAGAAAGUGGGGGAUCUUCGGACCUCACGCUAUCAGAUGAGCCUAGGUCGGAUUAGCUAGUUGGUGGGGUAAAGGCCUACCAAGGCGACGAUCCGUAACUGGUCUGAGAGGAUGAUCAGUCACACUGGAACUGCGACACGGUCCAGACUCCUACGGGAGGCAGCAGUGGGGAAUAUUGGACAAUGGGCGAAAGCCUGAUCCAGCCAUGCCGCGUGUGUGAAGAAGGUCUUCGGAUUGUAAAGCACUUUAAGUUGGGAGGAAGGGCAGUAAGUUAAUACCUUGCUGUUUUGACGUUACCAACAGAAUAAGCACCGGCUAGCUUCGUG
This 484-nucleotide ribosomal RNA is filed under the name uncultured bacterium. RNAcentral's name for it is "partial 16S ribosomal RNA". It matches the Rfam family "Bacterial small subunit ribosomal RNA", at positions 30 to 507 of the family's 1533-position model. The record is from RNAcentral.